Non-coding RNA from Salvelinus sp. IW2-2015, 1174 nucleotides. The record is from RefSeq and is a predicted model, not a curated record. Lineage: Eukaryota; Metazoa; Chordata; Actinopteri; Salmoniformes; Salmonidae.
AAAAAUGUUUAAGUUUCAGUAUUUCACCGUAGUGACACGAUUAUGUCUCUGUUUCCUUCUAAUUUCCCCUCUAGUGCUAAAGGUAUUAGAAGAAGAGAUGUGACGUCCCCUUCAUCCUUCAAAGGGUCAACGAAUUGACCGGUGGGGGGGUGAAGAGAAGAGAAGAGAGAGAGAGAGAGAUUAGAAAUUGUGAAAAAAGGUAAUGAUCUGACAUAUUGUUGUUCUAGAAAAAUAUAUAUAUAUUACUUUAUACGUCUGAACUUUUGUGUCAUCAUUACAUUGAGGUCCCUUAACCUCAUAUUCCCAAAGAUAUCGCUCUCAUGCAUAAUAGCGCCAGGUUGGGCAGGCAGAUAGCCUGUGCACUGUCUGAAUGAAUGCAGAAGAAGAGGACUGUUCCUGGUCUUCACGUAAAAGAGGAAGAGAAAGAUUCUGACUGUCAAAAAUUACUCUCUGAACAGAAUGGGACAAAGACCUCUGUUCAUCUCAGCCAUUGGAACUGACUCUCACAGUGAUGCUGUACUGAACUACUCUCAGCACAUGUGCACCAGUGGCGUCGCCAGGCUUCAAGAGCAGAGGACCGCAACUUGUUGUGCCGUGAUGACUGAGAACGGUGACCUGAGUCUCGGAUUGGGCGACAUGCACAACCGCCAGCGAAUCACAGAACAGUAUGUGAGUAUUUCUGAAGCAGGUACGAGACAUCAAAGUCUACAUAUUUUUUGUUGUUGUUGAGAAUAGUACUGAAAUAAGAACAACUUUGCCCAGGACUAAAUUAGAAGGAAUGUCAAAAUAUUUCUACAAACAGGUGUCCCAGUUUGAGGAAAACCUUUCAUGGGUUUUCUCUUGUGUGUCUGUAUGGCAACCACAAUCGACAGUCGUCAAUAGUGAUCGAUCACCAUAUUUUUUCACCAUCAGUGUCACACCCUGAUCUGUUUCACCUGUCUUUGUGCUGGUCUCCCCCACCAGGUGUCUCCUAUCUCCCCUCAUUAUCCCCUGUGUAUUAAUACCUGUGUAUUCUGUUUGUCUGUUGCCACUUCGGCGUGUCCCGUCAAGUCCCACCAGCGUGUUCCCUGUGCUCUAGUCUUUGGUUGUCUUAGUCUUCACAGUUCUGACCUUUCUGCCUGUCCUGAUCCUGCCCGCUGUCCUGUACCUGCCUGACUCUGAUUUGGAUUACAAC